RNAcentral lists this ribosomal RNA (445 nucleotides) under uncultured bacterium. Its description in RNAcentral is "bacterial SSU rRNA". It matches the Rfam family "Bacterial small subunit ribosomal RNA", at positions 331 to 792 of the family's 1533-position model. The record is from RNAcentral.
CCAGACUCCUACGGGAGGCAGCAGUGGGGAAUAUUGGGCAAUGGAGGCAACUCUGACCCAGCAACGCCGCGUGAAGGAUGAAGGUUUUCGGAUUGUAGACUUCUGUCGUGAGAGACGAAGAAUGACGGUAUCUCGCAAGAAAGCCCCGGCUAACUACGUGCCAGCAGCCGCGGUAAUACGUAGGGGGCAAGCGUUAUCCGGAUUUACUGGGUGUAAAGGGAGCGUAGACGGCUGUGCAAGUCUGAAGUGAAAUGCCGGGGCUCAACCCCGGAACUGCUUUGGAAACUGUGCAGCUAGAGUGCAGGAGAGGUAAGUGGAAUUCCUAGUGUAGCGGUGAAAUGCGUAGAUAUUAGGAGGAACACCAGUGGCGAAGGCGGCUUACUGGACUGUAACUGACGUUGAGGCUCGAAAGCGUGGGGAGCAAACAGGAUUAGAUACCCGCGUA